RNAcentral lists this long non-coding RNA (1677 nucleotides) under Setaria italica (foxtail millet). Its description in RNAcentral is "long non-coding RNA (SITA_LNC006392)". Lineage: Eukaryota; Viridiplantae; Streptophyta; Magnoliopsida; Poales; Poaceae. The record is from RNAcentral.
CACUAGUUCACUGGCUCUAGCUACACAAACCUAAGCAGCUCUCACCUCAUCUUCUUGCUCUCUCUCACUCUAACCGUGAUCCAUAGUUCUUGAGCCCUUGUUCUCUCGUGGCCGGCCGCCAUUGCUGCUGCUUGCUUUUCCUUGCUCCUCCACAAAGAACCCAGCUGAUAGCGUGUUUGCGCAGCAAGAAGCUGCUAGAAAGAGAUCUGGGGAGAAGGAAGGGUAUGGAACAAUCCUUGAAGCUCAGGAGGGAUAGCGCCUAGGAAAUCACUAGAUUGGAGCCAUGAGGAGGAAGAGAUCGAAGUAAAUCUCUUCGAUCCCUUUCUCUGAAGGUUCUGUCUAUCAAUCUGAAGCGCUAUCUAUCCUGAGCUCCACGGCUUGUUCUUACCACACACACACACACACACACGCCGCCGGCCGAUCGAUCGAGUUCCCCAGCUUGCUCGCUCUCAUGAGUAAUCUCUUCACACCUGUUUUUGCAAUGCAGGUGAGACCGUGAGAGGUCGUAGUCUCAUCAGCAGAAAUGAAGACUGUCCCUGCAACGCUUGACGCCAUUGCUGCAAGCCUGUGGCCGAGGUAUCUCCUCCUGGCUCCAUGAUUAUUUUACCAUAUCCGUGCAAGGGGAUGAGGUGUGUUCAUGCAUGCAGCAUGCUUGCAAAAGUUAUGGGCACGGCGGCUGGUUUUUACUUGCUACCGUACAAAGGGUGAGUUAAUGCUGACCUAACCGAUUCAAGAGCAUGUUCCAUCAUCUCCUGCUGCAAAAUUUCAUUCAUAAAACCAAGAGUAUGGAGUUAUUCCCUACCCCCCAUAAAUGUAUACAAAUAUAUUAUCAUUAAGAAUAAAUAAAAGUAGCAGCACAAAAUAAAAGAAACAUGGCCCUACAUAUCUCCUAUGCAGUGUAGUUGUAAUAUAGUUACCUCUUGAAACAGUGACUUGUGAGAGAAAUUUUAGCAGUAUCUUUUAAUAAAGGCUGAAUUUCAUCCUGAACCAGACAUCUAAUCUCAUAAAAUGUUUCAGCUUGAAACUGUUUUCAAUGCAAAUAUAUGCUUUCUUUUUACACUCGAAAAUUAGAGGCAGUGAAGCUGAAGCAGCAGCUCUGCAGGCUUGUACACCGUGGCUCAUACGAGCAUGCAACGCCAUGGAUUGCACAAGAGCGGGUCUCGUCUCGUCUCGAGAGGCAAAAGCCUCAUCGCCUUUCCAAUCCGGUUGACAUGUCUUGAUGACUGCCAUUUCAGGGCAUGUAGGUAGGGGGCCGGAUCUUCUGCGCCACCGGACUCCACGGCCCAUGCCAUGACUGACACGACGACGACGACGACACCUCCCCUGUUCCUUUGCAAAAACAAAUGCCAAAGGAAGCGUGCAAUUACGUUUCAAAAAAAAAAAGCGUGCAAUGAAACGAACGAAAGGCAUCAGCUCGCUGCUCACUGCGGCCACCACGCUGGGGAGUAGUAUAGUGUACCGGCACAUAGCCCCUGACCCCCCUUGUUCUUCUCGUGAAAGUUUUGAAUACAUUUUUUAUGAGGCCGCGGCCUCGUAGUAUAGUACCAGAUGAUGAAAAUUCAUUGAAAUCCAAUGUACCCUGAUGCAGCCCCAAUUUUCAAUGGUCUGUACGCUGGCAGAGGAGAAUUUGCUCCUCCCCCCUGCCCUUUUUAUAAUUCCUCGUACAAAUCUCUAACG